RNAcentral lists this ribosomal RNA (492 nucleotides) under uncultured bacterium. Its description in RNAcentral is "partial 16S ribosomal RNA". It matches the Rfam family "Bacterial small subunit ribosomal RNA", at positions 29 to 507 of the family's 1533-position model. The record is from RNAcentral.
AGUGAACGCUGGCGGUAGGCCUAACACAUGCAAGUCGAACGGCAGCACAGUAAGAGCUUGCUCUUACGGGUGGCGAGUGGCGGACGGGUGAGGAAUACAUCGGAAUCUACUUUUUCGUGGGGGAUAAAGUAGGGAAACUUACGCUAAUACCGCAUACGACCUACGGGUGAAAGCAGGGGAUCUUCGGACCUUGCGCGAUUGAAUGAGCCGAUGUCGGAUUAGCUAGGUGGCGGGGUAAAGGCCCACCAAGGCGACGAUCCGUAGCUGGUCUGAGAGGAUGAUCAGCCACACUGGAACUGAGACACGGUCCAGACUCCUACGGGAGGCAGCAGUGGGGAAUAUUGGACAAUGGGCGCAAGCCUGAUCCAGCCAUACCGCGUGGGUGAAGAAGGCCUUCGGGUUGUAAAGCCCUUUUGUUGGGAAAGAAAAGCAGCAGGUUAAUACCCCGCUGUUCUGACGGUACCCAAAGAAUAAGCACCGGCUAACUUCGUG